CUAGCGACUUCAGAGUUUGAUCCUGGCUCAGGAUGAACGCUGGCGGCGUGCUUAACACAUGCAAGUCGAACGAAGCAGUUGUUUGGAUCCCUUCGGGGUGACGAACUUACUGACUGAGUGGCGGACGGGUGAGUAACGCGUGGGUAACCUGCCUUACACAGGGGGAUAACAGUUAGAAACGACUGCUAAUACCGCAUAAUGUUAUUGGGCGGCAUCGCUUGAUAACCAAAGAUUUAUUGCUGAAAGAUGGCCUCGCGUCUGAUUAGCUAGUUGGUGGGGUAACGGCCCACCAAGGCGACGAUCAGUAGCCGGACUGAGAGGUUGACCGGCCACAUUGGGACUGAGAUACGGCCCAG
This 356-nucleotide ribosomal RNA is filed under the name uncultured bacterium. Its description in RNAcentral is "bacterial SSU rRNA". It matches the Rfam family "Bacterial small subunit ribosomal RNA", at positions 1 to 334 of the family's 1533-position model. The record is from RNAcentral.